This 494-nucleotide ribosomal RNA is filed under the name uncultured bacterium. Its description in RNAcentral is "bacterial SSU rRNA". It matches the Rfam family "Bacterial small subunit ribosomal RNA", at positions 42 to 554 of the family's 1533-position model. The record is from RNAcentral.
GUGCGCCUAACACAUGCAAGUCGAGCGGUAGAAUUAUUAUUGAAUCUUCGGAUGAUUUAAUAAUUUGAGAGCGGCGAACGGGUGAGUAACACGUUGGUAUCUGCCCCCAAGUCAGGGAUAGCCAUUGGAAACGAUGAUUAAUACCGGAUAGUCUCUUCGGAGUAAAGAUUUAUUGCUUGGGGAGGAACCUGCGUUCUAUCAGCUAGUUGGUGAGGUAAAAGCUCACCAAGGCUAUGACGGAUACCUGGUCUGAGAGGAUGAUCAGGCACAAUGGAACUGAGACACGGUCCAUACUCCUACGGGAGGCAGCAGUGAGGAAUCUUCCACAAUGGGCGAAAGCCUGAUGGAGCGACACCGCGUGAAGGAUGAAGGCCUAACGGUUGUAAACUUCUUUUCUGAAGGAGCAUAAUGAGAGUACUUCAGGAAUAAGGGACGGCUAAAUACGUGCCAGCAGCCGCGGUAAUACGUAUGUCUCGAGCGUUACCCGGAAUCAC